GGAAUAAGACACAAAUAGCCGAGUGUAGUUAUAAGGACUGAAAGAGGAUUAGAUAAAAUCUCACACACUGAGGCAACCAAGAUUUGGCCCCUUAAGUUGUAAAUAAGGAUUAUUACAGUUUUAUCCAGGCCUCAGAAAGAGGAAUAAAAACUCCCUGCCUCUCAGAUUCUGACCUGUGGGCAGUGAUAAAAAGUAAUCGUGAAGCAUAAAUGCACUCAGAACAUUCCCCAAAAUGACAGUUAGA
This 244-nucleotide long non-coding RNA is filed under the name Homo sapiens (human). RNAcentral describes it as "HSALNT0244969". Lineage: Eukaryota; Metazoa; Chordata; Mammalia; Primates; Hominidae. The record is from RNAcentral.